This 506-nucleotide ribosomal RNA is filed under the name uncultured bacterium. RNAcentral describes it as "partial 16S ribosomal RNA". It matches the Rfam family "Bacterial small subunit ribosomal RNA", at positions 29 to 523 of the family's 1533-position model. The record is from RNAcentral.
AGUGAACGCUGGCGGUAGGCCUAACACAUGCAAGUCGAACGGCAGCACAGGAGAGCUUGCUCUCUGGGUGGCGAGUGGCGGACGGGUGAGGAAUACAUCGGAAUCUACUCUGUCGUGGGGGAUAACGUAGGGAAACUUACGCUAAUACCGCAUACGACCUACGGGUGAAAGCAGGGGACCUUCGGGCCUUGCGCGAUUGGAUGAGCCGAUGUCGGAUUAGCUAGUUGGCGGGGUAAAGGCCCACCAAGGCGACGAUCCGUAGCUGGUCUGAGAGGAUGAUCAGCCACACUGGAACUGAGACACGGUCCAGACUCCUACGGGAGGCAGCAGUGGGGAAUAUUGGACAAUGGGCGCAAGCCUGAUCCAGCCAUACCGCGUGGGUGAAGAAGGCCUUCGGGUUGUAAAGCCCUUUUGUUGGGGAAGAAAUCCAGCUGGCUAAUACCCGGUUGGGAUGACGGUACCCAAAGAAUAAGCACCGGCUAACUUCGUGCCAGCAGCCGCAGUAA